Molecule: long non-coding RNA, 3437 nt
Filed under: Prunus persica (peach)
Lineage: Eukaryota; Viridiplantae; Streptophyta; Magnoliopsida; Rosales; Rosaceae
Description: long non-coding RNA (PPER_LNC004086)
Source: RNAcentral
GGGAGAGAAAUUUGGAAGAAGAAAAGCCAUUGCCUUCUUUGUUAUCCUUCAAUUUGGAGUCUCAGUUUCAGCUUCUCAUGUGAAAAGCUCUAGAGAUAGAAAAAGGAGGACGGUUUGUGUUCUGCGUAUUGUGCUUGGUGUUUUGUGUGUUGUGUGUAUUGCUGGUUGGAACAGAAUGAGCAUUUGAUUUUUGGCGUUGAUAUAUGAGUGGUUUUGAACAUGGCCAUGAAUAUGUCUUUUGUUCUGAUUGGAAAGUGCUUGAAAGUGGACCAGGUGAAAAACCCAAAACUUGUGGCUCUUGCACUCUUUCCCCCCCUCGACUUUGGUGUAUUUCUUUGACAUCAAAGACAUGCAAAAAUAUCUUCUUGCUAUGGAGCCCCUUUGUUCUCCUACAACUACAAGUGCUCUGUUGGCAUCUAAAAACUUGAUUUUCAACCUCUUUUUUCUUUUCAACUUUCAAUUGUAUCCUUAUUCAUUCAACAUGGAAAAAUGAAACCCUGAACUCUAAACUUCUCUAACUGAUCCCUUUUGAUAAAUAUUUUAAGUUAGAAGAAAUAAGUAUUUUCUACAAGGAGAUUGUUGCACGUUUCAUUCUUGAAUAUUCAAUUCAAACUCAUACUAGUAUGAAGUCGUGGCCAAAAUACAUCUUUCCGUUUAAAAAAUAAAAAUGAAAGUAAAUUUGGUCACUACACCCUGUAGUUUAUUAAGUAAACUGAAAGAAAUCUUCCUUCAAAAUCAAAAGCUCUCUCUCUCUCUCUCUCUCUCUCUCUCUCUCUCUCUCUCUCUCUCUCUCUCUCUCUAUCUAAAUGUAAUUUAUGGUUGGAUACUAGGAUAAUGGGAAUCGAAGAAGAUAAUGAAAUCUUGGGAUAAGACCAAAUCUAAGUUAAGUUAGAAGUGUAUUAUUAAACAGAUGUCUAUCAGAGUGGGCUCAUGCCUAAUUGUCUGCCUCAGUUUGAUUGGAAGUGUACAUGGAAUGGAAGGGUUAGAACCAUUUAGAUAAGGCUGCUUUUUUUCCAAGGAUGACAAAACAAUGCAAAAGGUUAAAACCCCUUGCCAAGAAUCUUCCAUUCAGAAAGCACAUUCCUUUUAGGAUAUACCCGCUUUGUUCCUUCUAAUCCAAUUUCUCAUUGCUAGUGGGAAUAGCGUAGAUGUUGAGCUAUUCCAUCUCUACUCAUAUAACAGAGGGUCAAAAUUUUCAGAUAAUCAAUAAAUAUUUAUAUAAAUCUCCUUUCUCAAUCGCUUGUAAAAAUUUAAAAAAAAAAAAAAUCAGUUUAUCAUUAGGCUGGCACCUCACUCUCUCACUUUUAACAUUCGCCAUGUGUUAGCGUUGGGAAAAGUUCUAGAAAAAUCUUUAUUGAACUAUUGUUGUAAUAUUGUAAUCGAUUAGUUUUUUAUUUUCUGGUUAAUUGUAAUUUAUUUCUGUUUCUUUUGGUGUUUUUACAAACAUAGGGGAAAUUCAUUUUCUCUGAGUUUCUCUUGUCAUCAAAUACUAGAAACCAGACAUCAUGUUAACAAUUAAAUGAAUGAGUAUUCUACCAACAACAAAAAUGAAUAUUCUUGACAAGUUCCACUGCAUGUACUCAAUUUGUUGGAAACUCAGUUAAAGAUUUUGGGUUUAAAUCAAGGUCGAUUGGGUUCAAUUUCAUUAUUUAGGAGCAGCUGUUCUGUAAACUUCAACCAACCCAUUUAAUUCGGAUGAGUGAUUGUUCUCUAGGAUUUCUAGAUCCUGACAUGAAUGAGUGCUCACCAGUUUCUCCAGCCUGAUCAUAAAUCACUGUCUCUGCAUUUCUUUUGCCUUGUCCAGGUUUGGAUGCCAAUGGAUAUGAAAUCCUAGUUUUCUAAAGCAAUUUGUUAUCCAAGUAAUUUAGAACCUGAUCUUGGAAAUCAGGUGGUCAUAAAUAUCCCAACAAUUACUACUGUCAUCAUUAACACUAAAACUUGCACAAUACAACGGACUGAUAGUUUGAAAUAAAAUACUUGAAUAUGGGAACAUCUGAAUGCAUAAACCUUAGGAAAAAGGCAAAUGUCAGAAUCUCAACUCCCAAGAAUCUCUCUUGGCAACGUACAGCACUGAAAACCCUAUAGCAAUAAGAGCAUCAGAGACUCUAAUUUGUUGCCUUAUAUGACCUCCCGCCUUGCGCCGCCUAGGCGGCCGUCUUGCGGCUAGGCGCCGAUUUGUCGAAGACUUUAAGCAGUGAAUUGAAAAUUGGAAAUUGGAUCUAUAACUUUGAAUGUAGGAACAUCUGAAUGCAUAAACCUUAAGAAAAGAAAGGCAAAUGCCAGAAUCUCAGUUCCCAGAAUCGCUGUUGGCAACGUACAGCACUAAUAACGCUAUGGAAAUAAGCGAAUCAGAGACUCUAAUUUGUUGCCUUUUUCAUAGCAAAUCCAACAAACCCAACACAAAUCAAUUGCUUGUUCGUUCAUCUAAACCCUUCAACAAAAACACCCAUCUAAAAAAGACUACAACUUUACCCAAAAUCAACACAAAAUUUUCAUCAAUGAAAAUAAGAAGGCUCAGAGUGUAAAGUUAAGUUGGCAUCAACAAGCCCCAAAAAGAGAGCUUUCAUAGUUUGAUGGUAUACAGAUUUAGUCAUCACUGCCUCUUCUAUACACCAGAAAUUAAAAGAAAAGGAAAACAGAGGAAAACAGAAAAAUUCAGGAAGAGGCCUCAGAAGCUAGUGAUAGAAACAUCAAAGAUUUUCUCAGAUGGUACGGACAAUAUCAAAACAUCACAGGCCAAAUUUUAUCAAACAGAACAAACACACAAAACAAUUGCAAAGGUAGCAGAGAGGGGCUGAAAGAUGGAGAGGCUGAGACCUGCGCUUAGCUGAGAAAACUUGGUUUGUUUGAAGCGAGGUCAUGAGGUGUGUUUAAAUAGUAGGGAGAAGAAACCACCAAAACCCUAGUGGUGUUAAAUUACCAUGAUGUCCUUGGUUGGGAUGGGUUGGGCUGGAGGUCAGUCCCAUUUGGAAUUGGGUUAAGGAACUUUUAGCCCAUUUGAGAAAUUAGAGGCCCAAUUCUUGUUUUGAGUAAAAUUACUGCAACCCACAUUAAUCCAGCUUCAUAUUUGUCAUUUUAAGUAAGGAUUACUGACCUUACUAUUGGUUUAUUGAUAUUAUCUCCACAAAAUUGCUGAGUCUCGUUGUCGUGCAACUAACUCAAUUGGUUUAGAGCAUUUAUCUUGAACAUUCUUGUUUGUAUAAGUCAAGUGUCUUGAAGAAUUAACCCAACCAUCAUGGGCGAUUUUCUUUUUGUUUUCGGAUGGUUGAAUUAAGAGAAUGAAAAUAUAGCAUAUUUUACUUACUUGACACAUUGGCCCUUGUUUUUAGUUCUCAUGUUCCUAGCAACCUCUUAUACAUGACAGUGUUGUGAGUUGUUGCCUUGUGUAUAGUAGGGGAUGAGUUGCUUAACAAACAAUGAAGAGUUGCUUUACCCAA